Molecule: ribosomal RNA, 100 nt
Filed under: uncultured bacterium
Lineage: Bacteria
Description: partial 16S ribosomal RNA
Rfam family: Bacterial small subunit ribosomal RNA
Source: RNAcentral
UACACACCGCCCGUCACACCAUGGGAGUCGUUUGCUCCAGAAGUGGCUGCGCCAACCCGCAAGGGAGGCAGGUCCCCAAGGAGUGACCGGUAACUGGGUG